RNAcentral lists this ribosomal RNA (490 nucleotides) under uncultured bacterium. RNAcentral describes it as "partial 16S ribosomal RNA". It matches the Rfam family "Bacterial small subunit ribosomal RNA", at positions 30 to 507 of the family's 1533-position model. The record is from RNAcentral.
AUUGAACGCUGGCGGCAGGCCUAACACAUGCAAGUCGAACGGUAACAGGAAGAAGCUUGCUUCUUUGCUGACGAGUGGCGGGCGGGUGAGUAAUGUCUGGGAAACUGCCUGAUGGAGGGGGAUAACUACUGGAAACGGUAGCUAAUACCGCAUAACGUCGCAAGACCAAAGAGGGGGACCUUCGGGCCUCUUGCCAUCGGAUGUGCCCAGAUGGGAUUAGCUAGUAGGUGGGGUAACGGCUCACCUAGGCGACGAUCCCUAGCUGGUCUGAGAGGAUGACCAGCCACACUGGAACUGAGACACGGUCCAGACUCCUACGGGAGGCAGCAGUGGGGAAUAUUGCGCAAAGGGCGCAAGCCUGAUGCAGCCAUGCCGCGUGUAUGAAGAAGGCCUUCGGGUUGUAAAGUACUUUCAGCGGGGAGGAAGGGAGUAAAGUUAAUACCUUUGCUCAUUGACGUUACCCGCAGAAGAAGCACCGGCUAACUCCGUG